GCAGCGGCGCCGUAGGUCGCAUCAUCUGCUCAUUCAUGGUCUGACUCGGAAGUCGGGAGAACUAAUUCUCCAGAUCCGAAACCCUAUAUCACUGAAUCACAAGCCAAAGCACGCCGAAGUAUCACACGAUUAGCCCCGAGACCUGAUCACAGGAUCUGAACGUUCUCGUUUUAAUCCCUUCGAUCCAGUCAAUCGUGUGUUUUCUGAGAUUAUUUAACGAAUUCGUUCGACGCGAAUUUGGGGAGGGGGGAAGAGGUGGAGAGAAGGAAGAAAGAAAAGAAACAGCGUAUCGUAGGAAGAAAGGGCCACGCCCACACGCGGGUACGCGGGUAUAUAAAGAGGAGAGAGGUGGGAGGGAGGCCGUCGGCUGGAUCCGGAGUCGCGGACUACGGACGGCUAGCACUAGCAGGGAGGCGUCCGAGCGGUUGCGUGUCGUGGAUGGACAGCACGGGCUGUGCCGCCAUGGGACGACAACUUUCUGGGCGCUACGAAGCAAACGGCAAAAGGCGCACGGUUUUCCAUUUGUAUCGGUUUUUUAUGGGGAGAACUGCCGUUUAAUUGAUUUAUAAAAAAUGCUUUCGUUUCGAUUUUGUUGCGUUCUCAAUGUGACGACAGCUUGUUGUUUAACUAGUGCACUAGUGCAAUUUGUUCGCUUUACUAAGUUAUUACAUGUCUUAAUGUUAGAAAUAUAGGCAUUUUCCGUAUUAUUUUAAUUCCAUAAAUUAACAUUAUGAUGAUGACAUAUAAUAGAUAAUCAAACAUAGAUAACAUAAUCUCAAAAAUAUCCAUAACAAUAUGGAUCAUGAGAACACAAAGCAUAUGAAGCAUGUAAAUCAUAUAAAUAAAAUAAGUAUAUAAACAUGGUUCAUGGAUUAUUGCGGAACAACUGGAAAUAAACAGAUAAUAAUAUAAACAGGAUGACUGUAAAAUUAAGACAGACAGAUAUAACAUAUUAUAAUACGAUAGAACAAAACUACAUACGACAUAUAUAAUAUGCAGAAUAUAAAACUGUAAUGAACUGAAUUGAUCAUACCCUCCCAUGCGCUCCGAGGAUCCUGAUCCUUGUCCAAUUUCUUUUGUCAUCCGAUCGAGAUGAAGACAGCAAGAACAACAGACGUUGGGCAGUCGCGUAGACGCUCCCCAAAAACCUAAUUGUCGAUCCCCCGUGCAAGGUCUCGAACGGCACCGGCUUCGGAGGCACCUGCCCUCUCGCUUCUCUGUGCGCGCAGAGUCACGAGAUGGAAAUACCCUCACUCGGUGGCUGGACUGUGAGACUGAAAGUGUUUCUCGCGUGUACCGAGUGACAGGGGUGCUCCUCUAUUUAACCUCUCGCAGAGGGAAGCUGAAGGAGAAAGGUCGCCGAGUCACGCCAAGAGUCGACCAGCUCUAGCCGAGUUAUGCCAUGAGUCGGCCAGCUCUCGCCGAGUCACGCCAUGAGUCGGCAGCUGAAGGAGAAGGGUCACUCGGCUGGCUGACGAAGAGACAGGGUCACUCGGCAGACGAAGAGACAGAGUCACUCGGCUGACGUACGCGGUUAGUGAGUGCUAAAAAUUAACACAACCACACCACGCCCGCUCGCCUGCCUCGCCACGCCACGCCCGGCCCGGCCCGGCCGGCGGCGGCGGCGGCGCGCGCGCGCGCGUGUGGCACGCCCUUGUCCAUUUCUUGACUUCUCUGGAUAAGUGGAAUAAAUCCCACCAUAUAAGUCAAGGCAAAAGACCCUUGGACUUCCAAUGUGGUACUAUUGGUAUUCUCCACCAUUACACACCAUAGAGUUUAUUCAAUAAAUGGGCCAAGCCCAUAAAAGAUCCAACAAUCCCCACCAAACUCUAGGGUUUGUAACGAUGAAGUAUCAGAAUCACAAUCCUUUGAUAUACCAGUGUUUCGAUGGAGACUGUUAAGUUGAACAUCCAUCUAGAAUAAGAGUUUCACUCAUUCACAACUGAACAAUGGACUAUGCCUUGAAUUGACAGUUUUGUGCGAAAUAAGAUUCACUCAAAUCCUUUGCUGAUACUAGGCUGCAAAAGGGUAUUCCCGCUGUUUAGAAGCAUAUAAGUCACACUUCAGUGCCUUUCAUGAGUAUUUAGGGAUUACCCAAGUCCCAUAGACUGUGACUAACAGUCUGACUCAUAUAGGUGUAUUCCUCAGAAGAUGUUCUGUAGGACAACAUCUCACCUUUAUAAGACUCUUGGAAUACAUUAAGGUAAAAACCAUCCUGCCUUACAGAUAGGAAAGAUGUGCAUCAGAAAUGAGUUAAAGAAGGGAUCUUUCCUCACAAUCUACUCCUAGCUUGUUUCUCCACUCUACUUCACGGGAUCUCCGAUCACAUAGAGCAGGUUACCACUAGAGUAGAUCUCACAUGGGUCUCAUACCCAUUUCCCUCGAUGCACUUUCUAUCACAUUGCGUGAUAGACCCUUAGUGAAUUGAUCUGCCAGAUUAUUCGAUGUGUGGACAUAAUCCACAGUAAUAACUCCGGAGUUUUUCAACUUUCUGACAGAUUUCAAUCUCCUCUUAACAUGCCUUGUAGACUUCAUGUUAUUCCUAGAACUGUUAACCUUUGUAAUCACCGUUUGGUUGUCACAGUUCAUGGAAAUAGACGAUAUCGGUUUUUCAACUAUGAAAGGAUCACGAUGCCCAAGAGGGGGUGAAUUGGGCUUUUCUAAAAAUCAACACAACACUAAUUAAAACCUAAGCAAGAGCUAAACAAGAGCCCAACUUCACCCCAACAACUAGCACUAAGCAAAUAAUACUAGAAAUGUAACAAAGCUAAGAUAAUACUUCAAAUACUUGCUAAACAAAUACACAAUGUAAACAAAGCUAAGAUAAUACUUCAAAUACUUGCUAAACAAUACACAANNNNNNNNNNNNNNNNNNNNNNNNNNNNNNNNNNNNNNNNNNNNNNNNNNNNNNNNNNNNNNNNNNNNNNNNNNNNNNNNNNNNNNNNNNNNNNNNNNNNAAAGGUGGAGAUAAGAUGCUUAUCUUACUGCCAAUGGUGAUAAAAAGCAACGUCAACUCACAUCUAUUUUUAUUGUAUCGUUCCAUCAUCACUUCCAGAAUCCAUUUGUAUACAGUGUAUACGACCGGUUUGCUUCGCUCUUUGGAAGAGAAAGAGCCACACACGAUCGAACCGUUUGGAGUUUGCAUCGCAUCAACGGCCACGCGCGCGGGCACACUAACGGCAUUAUUAUUGGUUUUUUUUUUUUGUUUGGAGCUUGGAUUCGUCGCGUCAGAGCAGAGCUGUCGUUCGUCCAGAUGCAGGUCCAGUCCUUGUCGGUGGUGUUGACUGUAGAGCACGCUGUGCUCUGAUCUGGGCUGCUAGCACAUUGGCUCAUGCUUUGUGCCGUUCUACGGCGAUCAUUCCAUUUGGACUGGUCAAGUCGUUUCGGGGUUGUCAAGGUGAGUGUGUCCUGAGUUCUGACCAGGACCCGGCGAACAGAACCAAAAUACUGGGCACGGUGUCUUACUAAACACAAAAUAAACGAAGUCGGUGAAGCUCGUCUUAGCGUCAAGUCUUGGCAGAUCUGAGAGAAGGAAAAGGAAAAUAAAUUGAAAGCCCGGCGAAUAUUCAAAGGUUUUUCCUUUAAAAGAAAACACGAACUCCAAGGCGAGCCAGAGCUUUCAGCAUCUUCCUCCAGCCAACCGCUUUCCCUAUGCAAUAUUCUCUCCCUCGCGGUCGCCUCCCUCUCGCUUCCGGUGGCGGCCUGCAAGCUGCCAGUCUGCACGGCAGGAGUCGCAGGACUGAGCAAGGAGCCAAGGAGAUGGGAGGAGAACAGAGAAGAAGCGGGCAACUGGACGUCUGGAUGGACGGCAUUAAAGACAUCCAUCACCCAACCGCAGCACCUUGAAAGGCCUAGUAGAAGUGAUGCAGGGAUCACAAUCCGAACAAUCAGCACAGCACAGAAUGGAAUACUAAGCACGAAACAAAGAACAUGUUGUCGGAAUAACAUUUUUCUUAACAACAAAAACAACAGGUUACUGACUGCACUAAAAAGGGCUGGUAAGAGUUCGGGACUACAAGUGGUUGAGGAUCUGGACGAGCAGGAGGAGGACACCAGGAUCUCGUGCUCCUCCCCGCACAUUCCAUCGUCGACCACGGGCUUUCCUGACUGAUGGUUCUUUCUACAAGGGACAUGAAACGGAAUCAAGCUAGACGAUGUCAAACUAACCAGAUGAGUAACUCUAAAGAAGCUGCUACUGCUGCUGCUCCAUGACUACACAGGGAAAUGGAAACCGUAUGUACAGUUUCAGUGCUGUAAGCUUUACUUCUCCAUGACCAUGGCGUCCCCCGUGUAGGUCUCGUCGCGGGCACCGGGGCAUGCGACGGCGGCCGCGCUCUCAGAGGCACUAGCUCGUCGGCGGUGUCCACCAGGCAGAGCUCCUCCACGGCAACGAGCCGCCGGCGGAGGUCGGCCAUGUCGCGCUCCAUCAGGAAGAGGCGCUCCCGGAGGGUCAGGUUCUCCUCCUCCAGCCUCGCGGCGCGCGCCUCGUCGUCCUCCUCGCCCAGGGCGGCCGAGGCCGCGGCCGCGGCCGGGAGGUGGACCAUCUCGAAGCGGCUGAGGUCGUGGUCCAGGCGGCGCUCCACCUCGACGUGCUCCUCCACCUCGCUCUCGCCGGAGCCCGAGUCGUCGCCGCCGGCGUCCCCGGCGUCGGCGCGCAGGCGGAUGAGGCCCUUCAUGGACCCGUACCCGUCCACGCCCCACGCCUCCUUGGCCAUCUCCACCAGCACCUCCCGCGCCGGCGACAGCACGGGGGUCGGAAGCACCGCCGGCGUCACGGGGCACGGCGACACCAGCGACGCCACGCCCCCCGCCCGCUUCGCACGGAUGAGGAACGACGUCGUGUUGCGCGGGGGCCGCCGCGCCGCCCCACCUGCCGCCGACCGACGCCGGCGGCGCCGGCGGCUGCGCCUUGCGCUUCCAGGGCGUCCGCGCCGCCCGCUUCCACGCCUGCCGCGCCGGCUUGAACGCGGCCACCGGAGGCUCCAUCGCCGGCACCGCCGCCCACAUCUGGUGGAACGGCAGCGGCGCCGUAGGUCGCAUCAUCUGCUCAUUCAUGGUCUGACUCGGAAGUCGGGAGAACUAAUUCUCCAGAUCCGAAACCCUAUAUCACUGAAUCACAAGCCAAAGCACGCCGAAGUAUCACACGAUUAGCCCCGAGACCUGAUCACAGGAUCUGAACGUUCUCGUUUUAAUCCCUUCGAUCCAGUCAAUCGUGUGUUUUCUGAGAUUAUUUAACGAAUUCGUUCGACGCGAAUUUGGGGAGGGGGGAAGAGGUGGAGAGAAGGAAGAAAGAAAAGAAAACAGCGUAUCGUAGGAAGAAAGGGCCACGCCCACACGCGGGUACGCGGGUAUAUAAAGAGGAGAGAGGUGGGAGGGAGGCCGUCGGCUGGAUCCGGAGUCGCGGACUACGG
Molecule: long non-coding RNA, 5411 nt
Filed under: Zea mays
Lineage: Eukaryota; Viridiplantae; Streptophyta; Magnoliopsida; Poales; Poaceae
Description: long non-coding RNA (ZMAY_LNC001241)
Source: RNAcentral